Molecule: ribosomal RNA, 243 nt
Filed under: uncultured bacterium
Lineage: Bacteria
Description: partial 16S ribosomal RNA
Rfam family: Bacterial small subunit ribosomal RNA
Source: RNAcentral
UACGUAGGGUGCAAGCGUUGUCCGGAAUUAUUGGGCGUAAAGAGCUUGUAGGCGGUUUGUCGCGUCUGCUGUGAAAUUUCGGGGCUCAACCCCGAACUUGCAGUGGGGUACGGGCAGACUAGAGUGUGGUAGGGGAGACUGGAAUUCCUGGUGUAGCGGUGAAAUGCGUAGAUAUCGGGAGGAACACCUGAGGCGAAGGCGGGCUACUGGGCCGAUACUGACGCUGAUGUGCGAAAGCCAGGG